GGCUUUCUCAAUCCGUGAUGAGAUUUCGUCAGACACCAACCCAUUAGGACUGAUCAGACUUCCAAGAUAAGUGAGGUU
MicroRNA precursor from Schistosoma mansoni, 78 nucleotides. It matches the Rfam family "mir-3492 microRNA precursor family". The record is from Rfam. Lineage: Eukaryota; Metazoa; Platyhelminthes; Trematoda; Strigeidida; Schistosomatidae.